Molecule: long non-coding RNA, 214 nt
Filed under: Glycine max (soybean)
Lineage: Eukaryota; Viridiplantae; Streptophyta; Magnoliopsida; Fabales; Fabaceae
Description: long non-coding RNA (GMAX_LNC001092)
Source: RNAcentral
CCAUUUCUGGUUUUUAAACAUUCAACUCACCGUGUCUGCCAGCGCAACCUGCAGUCAUAUGGGAAACUACCAUUCAAACCAUUUUUCAUUAUGGUGAGACUGUUAGCUCAAAUUUUCAAAUACAGCAACAGUAGUUGCUUUUGGUUUGGUUUGUAGAUCACGGAUAAAAGUUGAAACUAUGGCUCAAUUUGUUUAUCUGGAAUCAAUGUCCCCC